GACGAACGCUGGCGGCGUGCUUAACACAUGCAAGUCGAACGGAAAGGCCCUGCUUUUGUGGGGUGCUCGAGUGGCGAACGGGUGAGUAACACGUGAGUAACCUGCCCUUGACUUUGGGAUAACUUCAGGAAACUGGGGCUAAUACCGGAUAGGAGCUCCUGCCGCAUGGUGGGGGUUGGAAAGUUUCGGCGGUUGGGGAUGGACUCGCGGCUUAUCAGCUUGUUGGUGGGGUAGUGGCUUACCAAGGCUUUGACGGGUAGCCGGCCUGAGAGGGUGACCGGCCACAUUGGGACUGAGAUACGGCCCAGACUCCUACGGGAGGCAGCAGUGGGGAAUAUUGCACAAUGGGCGGAAGCCUGAUGCAGCAACGCCGCGUGCGGGAUGACGGCCUUCGGGUUGUAAACCGCUUUCGCCUGUGACGAAGCGUGAGUGACGGUAAUGGGUAAAGAAGCACCGGCUAACUACGUGCCAGCAGCCGCGGUGAUACGUAGGGUGCGAGCGUUGUCCGGAUUUAUUGGGCGUAAAGGGCUCGUAGGUGGUUGAUCGCGUCGGAAGUGUAAUCUUGGGGCUUAACCCUGAGCGUGCUUUCGAUACGGGUUGACUUGAGGAAGGUAGGGGAGAAUGGAAUUCCUGGUGGAGCGGUGGAAUGCGCAGAUAUCAGGAGGAACACCAGUGGCGAAGGCGGUUCUCUGGGCCUUUCCUGACGCUGAGGAGCGAAAGCGUGGGGAGCGAACAGGCUUAGAUACCCUGGUAGUCCACGCUGUAAACGGUGGGUACUAGGUGUGGGGUCCAUUCCACGGGUUCCGUGCCGUAGCUAACGCUUUAAGUACCCCGCCUGGGGAGUACGGCCGCAAGGCUAAAACUCAAAGGAAUUGACGGGGCCCCGCACAAGCGGCGGAGCAUGCGGAUUAAUUCGAUGCAACGCGUAGAACCUUACCUGGGUUUGACAUGGAUCGGGAGUGCUCAGAGAUGGGUGUGCCUCUUUUGGGGUCGGUUCACAGGUGGUGCAUGGCUGUCGUCAGCUCGUGUCGUGAGAUGUUGGGUUAAGUCCCGCAACGAGCGCAACCCCUGUUCACUGUUGCCAGCACGUUAUGGUGGGGACUCAGUGGAGACCGCCGGGGUCAACUCGGAGGAAGGUGGGGAUGACGUCAAGUCAUCAUGCCCCUUAUGUCCAGGGCUUCACGCAUGCUACAAUGGCUGGUACAGAGAGUGGCGAGCCUGUGAGGGUGAGCGAAUCUCGGAAAGCCGGUCUCAGUUCGGAUUGGGGUCUGCAACUCGACCUCAUGAAGUCGGAGUCGCUAGUAAUCGCAGAUCAGCAACGCUGCGGUGAAUACGUUCCCGGGGCU
This 1346-nucleotide ribosomal RNA is filed under the name uncultured bacterium. RNAcentral's name for it is "partial 16S ribosomal RNA". It matches the Rfam family "Bacterial small subunit ribosomal RNA", at positions 28 to 1381 of the family's 1533-position model. The record is from RNAcentral.